UGAAGAAGCUUGCUUCUGAUUGAUAACAUUUGAGUGAGUGGCGGACGGGUGAGUAACACGUGGGUAACCUGCCCUAAAGUGGGGGAUAACAUUUGGAAACAGAUGCUAAUACCGCAUAAAACCUAGCACCGCAUGGUGCAAGGUUGAAAGAUGGUUUCGGCUAUCACUUUAGGAUGGACCCGCGGUGCAUUAGUUAGUUGGUGAGGUAAAGGCUCACCAAGACCGUGAUGCAUAGCCGACCUGAGAGGGUAAUCGGCCACACUGGGACUGAGACACGGCCCAGACUCCUACGGGAGGCAGCAGUAGGGAAUCUUCCACAAUGGACGAAAGUCUGAUGGAGCAACGCCGCGUGAGUGAAGAAGGUUUUCGGAUCGUAAAACUCUGUUGUUGGAGAAGAACGUAUUUGAUAGUAACUGAUCAGGUAGUGACGGUAUCCAACCAGAAAGCCACGGCUAACUACGUGCCAGCAGCCGCGGUAAUACGUAGGUGGCAAGCGUUGUCCGGAUUUAUUGGGCGUAAAGCGAGCGCAGGCGGUUUCUUAAGUCUGAUGUGAAAGCCUUCGGCUCAACCGAAGAAGUGCAUCGGAAACUGGGAAACUUGAGUGCAGAAGAGGACAGUGGAACUCCAUGGGUAG
Molecule: ribosomal RNA, 634 nt
Filed under: Latilactobacillus curvatus
Lineage: Bacteria; Bacillati; Bacillota; Bacilli; Lactobacillales; Lactobacillaceae
Description: bacterial SSU rRNA
Rfam family: Bacterial small subunit ribosomal RNA
Source: RNAcentral